GGAAGGCGGGGCUAGGCCGUCAUUCAACUUGGCCCCGCCGAUCAGGGCGGGACUACGCGCGCCCUGGGCCCGCCCAGGAAGGUUCCGCAGGUAGAAGGCAGGCGCCCGGUCUACGACGUCAUCGCGCUGACGCCGGCGUCCACUCGGCCCCGCCUGCUCCGUUGAAAAUGCCGAACCUAACAUGGCGGCGCGCGCUCGGCCCGCUUCACCCUGGUGUUUCCUCUCGCGCGGGCACUCUUCAGAGAGGAGAGACCCUCUUGGACAAGAGAGGCAGGCUGCAAAAGCCCACUGAACGUGCUUCUGAUAUUCAGGAGAAUGGACACAGGAGCCCAGGCUGAUUCUUAACCGCAAGAGGACCAGUGAAGUCCCUCUGCCGUCUUUUCUAAUCCGGAUUCCACAACAGUGUUACAUCAAAGUGCAUACAGGAGAGUUAUUCCAUGAAGCCAGAUUCUACAUGUAGAAACUGUGAGUCAGCGUAGCGGAUACAACUCUGCAAAACUUUACAAAAGAAAAGCACUGAGUGCCAGCUUACAAGCCGGUGGUGUUUAAAAUGCAACAGUUCAAAAUGCA
This 570-nucleotide long non-coding RNA is filed under the name Bos mutus (wild yak). Its description in RNAcentral is "lncRNA (ENSBMUG00000020624.1)". The record is from RNAcentral. Lineage: Eukaryota; Metazoa; Chordata; Mammalia; Artiodactyla; Bovidae.